UCCGAGUUGACCCCGGCAGUCUCCGAUGAGUCCCCACCAUGACGUGCUGGCAACAUCGAACGAGGGUUGCGCUCGUUGCGGGACUUAACCCAACAUCUCACGACACGAGCUGACGACAACCAUGCACCACCUGUACCCCGCCCGGUAAAGGACCCCGCAUCUCUGCGAGUUUUCGAGGUAUGUCAAGCCUUGGUAAGGUUCUUCGCGUUGCAUCGAAUUAAGCCGCAUGCUCCGCCGCUUGUGCGGGCCCCCGUCAAUUCCUUUGAGUUUUAGCCUUGCGGCCGUACUCCCCAGGCGGGGCGCUUAAUGCGUUAGCUGCGGCACGGAGAUCGUGGAAAGAUCCCCACACCUAGCGCCCAACGUUUACGGCGUGGACUAC
RNAcentral lists this unclassified non-coding RNA (379 nucleotides) under uncultured Actinomycetes bacterium. Its description in RNAcentral is "uncultured actinobacterium contains 16S-23S intergenic spacer region". Lineage: Bacteria; Bacillati; Actinomycetota; Actinomycetes. The record is from RNAcentral.